Molecule: unclassified non-coding RNA, 1367 nt
Filed under: uncultured Neocallimastigales
Lineage: Eukaryota; Fungi; Neocallimastigomycota; Neocallimastigomycetes; Neocallimastigales
Description: partial contains internal transcribed spacer 1, 5.8S ribosomal RNA, internal transcribed spacer 2, and large subunit ribosomal RNA
Rfam family: Eukaryotic large subunit ribosomal RNA (bases 594-1367)
Source: RNAcentral
AAAAUAAUCCUACCCUUUGUGAAUUUUGUUUGUUUGAAUAAUUUUUUUUUUUUAAAAAUUAUUGGAGUCUUUCCCUUUAGAGUUUGCUUUUGAGUUUGUAAAAGAAUUCGAAAACAUCUAAAGGGGAUGGUCAAUAAUUUUUUUUGAAAAAAGACAUUUUUUAAAAUUAAACUUUUUGUAUUCAUUUGUCUAAAAAUUAUUUUUUAUAAUAUAAAAACAACUUUUGACAAUGGAUCUCUUGGUUCUCGCAACGAUGAAGAACGCAGCAAAAUGCGAUAAGUAGUGUGAACUGCAGAAUACGUGAUCAUCGAAUCUUUGAACGCAUAUUGCACUUUUUAGUUUACUAAAAAAGUAUGUCUGUUUGAGUAUCAGUAAAAUAUUCUCAUAAAAUCAUUGUGUAUUUUUAUGGUUAUGAGUGUUUUACAACGAUACAAGUUGUUUCACUUUAAAUUUUUUUUUAAUAUUGAAAUUUUUCUAAUUUUAAUAAUUAAAAUUGGAUAAAAUUUUCCCGUCAAAAGGAAUAACCUAAACAAUUUUAAAUGAUUAAUUUAGCAAAAUUUUCGAAAAAAAGGAAAAUUUUUAUUAAAAUAACUUGAUCUCAAAUCAGAUAAGAGUACCCGCUGAACUUAAGCAUAUCAAUAAGCGGAGGAAAAGAAACUAACAAGGAUUCCCUUAGUAACGGCGAGUGAAGCGGGAAGAGCUCAAAUUUGAAAUCUUCAAGGUUUUACCUUGACGAAUUGUAGUUUAAAGAAGUGUUUUCUGCUGAAGUUUUGGUAAAAGUUCUUUGGAAUAGGACAUCAUAGAGGGUGAGUAUCCCGUAUUUGACCAUUAUUUUCAGCUUUGUGAUACACUUUCAAAGAGUCGGAUUGUUUGGGAAUGCAGUCCAAAAUGGGUGGUAAAUUUCAUCUAAAGCUAAAUAUUGGCGAGAGACCGAUAGCGAACAAGUACCGUGAGGGAAAGAUGAAAAGAACUUUGAAAGAGAGUUAAACAGUACGUGAAAUUGUCAAAAGGGAAGCGUUUGACACCAGUGUUGUUUUCUCGAAAAUCAAUUAAAAAUGGCUCGAUUUUGUAUUGCUUGAGACCUUAAAAGCUCACUGUACAUUUUUCGUGUCUUUUUUAAUGCACUUUUCGUUUAACAAGUCAACAUCAGUUUCUUUUGUUGUAAAAGGGUCAUUGGAAGGUGGCUUUCUUUUCGGAGAAAGUGUUUAUAGCCUUUGGCCUCUGCAAUCGAGAGACUGAGGUCUGCAGCGUAGACUCUUCGGGGUUAGAUACAUUUGUGCUAAGUUAUAGCUUUUUAUAGACAACUUGUUGACUAUAAUUAGUCUUGUAGCUUACUCGCUUAUGCUAUUUUACCUACGCUUAGGAUG